This 2541-nucleotide long non-coding RNA is filed under the name Homo sapiens (human). RNAcentral's name for it is "non-protein coding LINC00458:19". Lineage: Eukaryota; Metazoa; Chordata; Mammalia; Primates; Hominidae. The record is from RNAcentral.
AGACGGCCCUAUCCCUGUCUCCCUUGGCUGACUCUCUUUUCGGACUCAGCCCGCCUGCACCCAGGUGAAAUAAACAGCCUUGUUGCUCACACAAAGCCUGUUUGGUGGUCUCUUCACACAAACGCGCAUGAAAUUUGGUGCCAUGACUCGGAUCGGGGUACCUCCCUUGGGAGAUCAAUCCCCAGUCCUCCUGCUCUUUGCUCCGUGAGAAAGAUCUACCUAGGACCUCAGGUCCUCAGACUGACCAGCCCAAGGAACAUCUCACCAAUUUCAAAUCUGGUAAGUGGCCUCUUUUUACUCUCUUCUCCAACCUCCCUCACUAUCCCUCAACCUCUUUCUCCUUUCUAUCUUGGCGCCACACUUCAAUCUCUCCCUUCUCUUAAUUUCAAUUCCUUUCAUUUUCUGGUAGAGACAAAGGAGACACAUUUUAUCCGUGGACCCAAAACUCCGGCGCCAGUCACGGACUCGGGGAGGCAGCCUUCCCUUGGUGUUUAAUAAUUGCGGGGGUGCCUCUCUGAUUAUUCACCCACGACCCCACUGAAAAUCGGACUGUUCAACUCAUCUGGCAGCCACUCCCAGAGCCCCUGGAACUCUGGCCCAAGCCUCUCUGACUGACUCCUUCCCAGAUCUUCUCGGCUUAGCAGCUGAAGACUGACACUGCCCAAUCGCCUUGGAAGCCCCCUAGACCAUCACGGAUGCCGAGCUUCGAGUAACUCUCACAGUGGAGGGAACGCGCAUGAAAAAACCAAACAAACAAAAAAAUUUCUUUUGGUAGCAGAAUAAAAAAACAAAAAAAAGGACUUUUUCUUCUGGACUGAACUAUAUUUAAAUCUCAAAGGAUGGACAUCUCACAACCUUCCUACAGCAAGUACUGUGAGAGCUGCAUCUUGUCCCACUGGAUGGUCUUCAGAGACAAUAAUACAUAAUGGAGCUGUCAUCUCCUAUGAUAACAAUGCCUUCUUCUGGAUACCUCCUGAAGGACCUGCCUGAGGCUCUUUCACUGUUAGUUUUUUUUUAAUAAGUAGAAGGAUUACACUCUAAAAUAAUAAGUGUAGUAUAGUAAAUGUAUAAACCAGUAACAUAAUGGUUUAUUAUCAUUAUCAAGUAUUACAUACUGUACAAAAUUAUAUGUGCUACAAUUUUAUGUGACUGGCAGCACAGUAGGUUUGUUUAUACCAGCAUCACCACAAACACGUGAGUAAUAUGACACACCAUGAUAUUCUGACAACCAUGACAUCACUAGGCCAGGGAAUUUUUUAGGUCCAUUAUCAUCAUAGGCGACCACAGUUGUAUAUGUGAUGUGGUCUGUCAUUGACUAAAAUCUCAUUAUGACUGUACUUAGUCUCUAAACCUUAUUCUAUUUCUUUCUUUUCUUAUGGCUUUUUCCUCUAUAAGAACUCAAAGGGGGAGAGAAAAAGACGAAAAAUAUCUUCAAAGAGGAGAACAAAUCUGAUCUUUCUCUACGUCUGCUUAGUUGGCGUAACUUUAGGAUGUCCAUAAGUUGUAGCUUUCCUGGGAAAAUUUGAUUUUACACUGGUUAUCCCAACAUAAUAUUAAUGGUAUCCUCUUAGACUCUCAAUAGUGUCCGGUUUGGAUGACAAAUUCUGUGGUCUUUUUAGCCAACUGCUACUGAAGUGGUCAGAUUUAUUGCACAAAAUAUAUUUUUAAAAAUAAGUAGCACAAGAUGAAAUAUGGCCUCAAAUUUCUUGGUUAGUUUCCACUAGAAAGUUUUAAACAUUAAAAAGUACAAAAUUCAUUACAUUUAUUGAAUGAUAAAGUAUAACAUUGUAUGAAGUUGAUGACUAUUAAAACUAUUUGAGUGUUUAAGUUUUGUCAGGUUCUCUUUGGUGAUGUCAGUUAAGUGUCUUUCAUUAAUUCUUAUAUGCCUCACUUUUCCUGUAAAUAACUUAUUAACCACCCACUACUUUUUUUCUGACUGAUUAAAUGGUAUAAAUGUCGAGAAAAACAACAUGAAUGACAUAAAUGCCAAGAAUCAGUUGAAAUGUAAAAAUAUAUUUAAUACAGAGGUUCUGUUUAUGACUCCUUAAAACAUACUUAAGGAAGCACACAGUUAACUAAUAACAGCAAUUAACUAGGAUUGGUAGAAAACCUUUAUUUUCUUAUUCUAUAGUCCAUUUGUGAGGAGCUUAAUAUAAGAAAGUUAGUAGGUCAAACUAAUAAUAGGGCAAAGUACUGUUCCAAGAACUUGUCUAAUGAUGUUCCAGUGCCAAAAAUGCUCUGAAAAAUUGAGAUAAUUGAAGUCUUUGAUCAGAAGGGUGUAAAAUAAUGUUGGAAAUAAUCAAGUGAAGAUGUAAAGCUAUGACUCGGUUUCCCAUGCUGAGCAUGUUAACAUUCUUCACUGUUUCUUCUUGCAUGCUGUACAUGGCCGACAUUUUUCAAAGUAAUGAGAAACACUAUUUGGUGAAGUUCUUUUCAUCUUUGCUGUCCACAUGUAUCACUCCCAUCCAAAAGUUGCAGUUGCAUUUAGCAGUUGCAAAGGAAAGGAUUUUCUCACGUAGGCAUGGAUACUUGAAGGGGCUG